RNAcentral lists this ribosomal RNA (333 nucleotides) under Nymphon australe. RNAcentral's name for it is "partial 12S ribosomal RNA". The record is from RNAcentral. Lineage: Eukaryota; Metazoa; Arthropoda; Pycnogonida; Pantopoda; Nymphonidae.
UGUUUAUAAUAUAUAAAUUCAAAGAAUUUGGCGGUAUAAUAAUUUUUUAGGGGAGUUUGUUUUUUAAUUCGAUAAUCCACGAUUUACCUUACUUUGUUUUUAAAGUUUACACAUUUCCGUUAUAUAGGUUUAUCUUAAGAUGGUUAAAUAAACUAAUUAUUAUUUAAAUAAUAAUUAAAUCAGGUAAAUAAGUAGUUUUAAUAAAGGAUAAAAUGAGCUACAAUUGUUAAAAACAUAAAUUGAAAAAUUUUUUGAAAAAAAAAUUUGAAAUUGAACUUAAAAGUAAUAUUUACAUUAAUAAGUAAUUUGAAUAAAAUAAAUUAUAUGUACACA